UGAAAACAAAGGUAAAAGUCAUUAUGGUCACUAGAAAGUGAUGGAAAGUUGCAGAGCCUAUCAACCUUCUUUUGUGAGCCAACAAAAGCGGUUGAUGCUCAACAGUCUUACUGCUUACUGUGUCAACUGUCUACUGUGGAAUGUGAGCAAAUGCCAAAGGAGGGCCUGCCCAGCUCUACUCUUGAAUGACAUGUCCUGUUACUCCAGUGGGCAAUCAACCCUGAUCUGCCCUCAGAAAUGCCCUGCAUCUUGCAAGGUCCUUCCCCCAGAAACUUCUGAACUUCAUCUGCCUAAAACUGGAACAGACACGUGCCGGACCCUAACCCUGCACCUGAUGAGCAUGGAUAACUUUCUGGCUUCCCUGAGAGCUGCCUGGGUCAGCUUUUUCCAUUGCCAGCACUUGGGAGCCUAGUGCUGAGGAAGGACACAAGAUAAUAAUAUGAAAAUAACAUUGGACAAAGCAAAGAUUUAUAAACGUGUUAUGGUUGGUCAUUUUGAUAAACAUCAGGUAUGUUCAGAAAAGGGCUAUUCAGAGCUUGUGACUGGAAACUGCAGUUCCUCACAUUUUUACAUCUGCUCUCAGAACAGAAUGAUGGGCUGAUGGAUCGACUGGAACUGAAGCAGAAAAAUAUCUACCUGUUUGAUCUUGCUAAUGUUCCUUCAAAUUUAUCCACCUCAAUGCACAUGGGCAGUCAGUACUGUCUCCAUGCAAGACUGCUCAAUGUGCACAGCACAUUGUAGUAUUGAUGGGUGUUUCUGUUGAGGCUUGAAUGUCUUCUUACAUUUGCCUAAAGCUUGAAGGCUACCGUUCUGAGUGAUAUGACAUUUUGCUAGCAGACAAAUUGUCAAAUGCCAGAUUUGAA
Molecule: long non-coding RNA, 863 nt
Filed under: Anas platyrhynchos platyrhynchos (common mallard)
Lineage: Eukaryota; Metazoa; Chordata; Aves; Anseriformes; Anatidae
Description: lncRNA (ENSAPLG00000019532.1)
Source: RNAcentral